CUUUUCUCUCUCGCGACGAGAUUGCCUCUGGCGAUUUUGCAAAACCCUAACUUCGAAUCACCACAAAUCUGUUGAAAUCAAUCGAGUCAAUAUCAAUUCUCUUUUUUUUGUUGUUGACUUUCUGGAGUUUUUUUCCCCAAUAGCAAUCGACUGUCUCACCUUUGGCCAAGUUUAAGUUGGUAUUCUUAGGUGAUCAAUCUGUCGGAAAAACCAGCAUCAUCACUCGUUUCAUGUAUGACAAAUUCGACACCAUUUACCAGUUUUGUUCGAUAAUAUUUACCCGUGGUUAGAGACAAUGAAUGUGUUAUGGUUUAGGAGUUCUUUGGAAGAGUGUUUCGUUUGCUCUGUGAUCUUAGUUCUCCUUGGCUCACGUGGCACAGCAUAGAGAUAAGAACGUUUGAGCCUUUGAGGUGCUUCUUAGAACAUAUGGAGUGAAGGAAGUGAAAAUGGAUACUAGCAUGGUUGGUGAAAGCCACAAGGAGGACAAUGAAGGAAUGAGACCUUGCAAGAGAAAACACCGUUCAAACAAAAACGAAACAGUUUCACAGGACAACUCUUCUAAUGCUACUUCAGUCGUCAUGGCUCGGCCUUGUAGCGAGGCAAGACGUCACACCGGUUACUUGACGUUUGCAAGACUCUAAUGUCUAGCUUAGUCCAAAUUGUCCAACUAAAUUACCAAUGGAUAUUUAAUCUUAAGUUAUCAUGUAUUAGAUAUUUCAUGAUUUUAUCUUAUUUGGUUUUCUUUA
Molecule: long non-coding RNA, 746 nt
Organism: Camelina sativa (false flax)
Lineage: Eukaryota; Viridiplantae; Streptophyta; Magnoliopsida; Brassicales; Brassicaceae
Source: RefSeq, a predicted model, not a curated record